Non-coding RNA from Zootoca vivipara (common lizard), 1496 nucleotides. Lineage: Eukaryota; Metazoa; Chordata; Lepidosauria; Squamata; Lacertidae. The record is from RefSeq and is a predicted model, not a curated record.
CUCUCUAUCUCUCUCUGUCUCUCUGUCCCUCUCUAACCCACACUGCCCAAAUAACAAUUGGCUCCCUUUUUCUUAAGCCAAAGCUUUAGCAUGGGAGGGUGGUGACUUCAGUGACUGAGCUUGAUUCUUAACUCCACCAUUGCACCAAAGGACCAUUUCAAGCACCACCUUCCUGGCAAUGUGCUGUUGCUGGGAAGAUGCUCACUUGAUGUAUCACUGGUUUUGUGUCUAGGUCGGCUGGAUCAGGUGGCUGCUUCCCAGUCACUGGUGUGAGAAGUCUCUCUAUGGAUCUGGUCUGUUCCUGUCUGCAUUCCAGACUCUACUGGAGGAGCAAUUCUCCCUGCAAAGGUAACAGACAAGGUGACCUUAUGGGGAAAACAUGCUGUGGAGCUUGCUAUGUAGGGUGGUAUUUUUGUUUUUUAACAAUUCAUGAUCAAUAGCUUACCAAUCUUCUGUCAGUAAAUGGUAGAUCAUGAAGCAAGGAGACUUGGGAGGAGACCUGGGCAAGGUGUGAGGCAGGUGCAGAUGCAACUUUGAUUACAGGUGUUCUGGCAACUUAGAAAGUUCAGUGUCUAUGUUUGCUUGCUUUCCGAUUGGCAGAUGCAACAAAACCAUUGUCCGAGGCUGCCUCUGUUCCAAGGCCAGAAUUGAUUUGCAUUCCCAUAGCUGUUACUCACUUUCUAUUUUUGCAGAUCAUGGUGCAAGACUGUAGGUUUCCCCCCUUGCAAAGUUAAGCAACAGUGACACAAUUAUUCAAGGUAGGCAAAUCUGAUAGAUAAAAAUGGAGCAGCCAGAAAUACUUUUGAAAUCUGAAGGCUUGUUUGUUCUGUUGUUAAAAAUAGUUACUAACUGUUUCUUGCUCAGGAAAUCAGGGUUGUUGUUUUUUGGGGGGGAGGGGGAGGGCAGAUUGCUAUUGUGCAGAGCAUGAUGUGACAUAAAACCAGUGCAUUUUCGGUGUUUUGCUUCUCUUCCGAAAGCUCAACAACUUCACAACCUUUUCUAGAAGAAAAGCACUGCAUAAAACCAUUGUGGAGAUGUGGGAGUAGGCCUCCUGUGAUCGUUGCUUAUCUCCUUCAAAUACAGCUUGGAACUGUCCAUCCUAUUGAGAAGCCCCAGGUGGAGACCACAGCCCCAUUGGCUGCAUCCAUACUAUAUUACAUUGGACCCUUCCGUCUGAAGCAUGAGUGCUAUGUCCUGCUACACAUUUGAGACACUGACCCUGUGCACUUGGUGGCGUCAAAGUUUCCAGGGCAGCUGUGAGGUAAGGACAUGCAAAUCCAUUUCCCCUCUUUCUAUAGAAUGCCAUAAACAUGCUCCUUCACAAGUUCCUUUACAUGCAAAAAUGGAAAUGUGUGGACUACUGGGAAAGCUCAGGUGAGGGCAGAUUUAACCUGAGUGUGUGAUGCUAAGAUACUGCACUGCAGUUCUUCUGGAGGUUGCAUAAUGGAAAUGUCAAGAUUCAUAUCUGGCAUACCUGCCAAGUUCCUGCCUGAAAA